Molecule: transfer RNA, 87 nt
Filed under: Gammaproteobacteria bacterium
Lineage: Bacteria; Pseudomonadati; Pseudomonadota; Gammaproteobacteria
Also listed under: 3 other names
Description: tRNA-Leu
Rfam family: tRNA
About the family: Transfer RNA (tRNA) molecules are approximately 80 nucleotides in length.
Source: RNAcentral
GCCGGAGUGGCGGAAUUGGUAGACGCAGGGGAUUCAAAAUCCCCCGAUUUUUUAAUCAUGGGGGUUCAAGUCCCCCCUCCGGUACCA